This 3071-nucleotide long non-coding RNA is filed under the name Sus scrofa (pig). RNAcentral describes it as "lncRNA (ENSSSCG00025035679.1, ENSSSCG00035060698.1, ENSSSCG00175034924.1)". Lineage: Eukaryota; Metazoa; Chordata; Mammalia; Artiodactyla; Suidae. The record is from RNAcentral.
AAGUCACCUGUGUUUAAAUCUACAAGUCCACUUAUUUCACUCUACGGUCACCUUCCACUCGCCCUACUCACUCUGAGUUUCUUAUGGUCAGGGCUAUGCCUGGCUUUUCUUUGAAUUCCCCAAGUACCCAGCACAAAAAUGCUAUAGUAAAGGAAACAAGGGUGACAACCUUCCUUAGACUCCCGGGCCCCAGGUCUUCCAGAUAUCAAGACGUUUCUCCGCUGAAAUGCAUAGAAUCUAAGAUAACAAGGACAUUAGUCAUGAUUUAGUUAUAUUCUACCAUCAGGAUGAGCAGAUUUCUCAGUCCUACGUGACUCAUCCUUUAAAUUGGGGUGGUUUGGAUGUCGUAAAGCCCUCUGCCCAAGGAGGCCCUGAGUUGACCAUGAGCAUAGACUUGCAUGGGGAAUUUUAACAUAGCUGUUGUCCUCAUCACCUUUUUAGCUGGUCUGGGCUCCUUCAUAUUGAAUAGAUCAAUCCAUUACUAAGGGAGACGAGAGAAGAUUCAAACAUCCUGCUCUUUGGGUUUACAUUUCAUUCUUGCAUUUGCCUGUGGGAACUACACAUGUUAAAAGGAAAUCCUCAUGCUGUCAGAUCACAAGAAUCUGAAAUGCCUUUAGCUGCUCUCUCUCCACCGAGUGGAUCCAUUCUAGAGGCCUCCUAUAGUGAUUGCUAAGAUCACUGGGUUUCACCCUCCAAUGAAGCCACAGUACAAUACUGUAACCCUGCCUGGUUUGGUGGGAAAACAACACUAAUUAAAUAAAAGAGCAUCAAUUCUACAUGUCAUGCACAAGUUGCAUCUGAGACCUCUUUUUCAGCUUUCAGACCUGACAUCCAUCCCAAAACCACUGGCGGGAGGGGGAGGGUAGGUGAGCAGUGUUUCUGGGCUUUGGGCUGCAUGUGGAAAUUACCUGAGAGCUUUGAAAUUCCUGAUGCCUAGUUCCCACUCCCAACAAUUCUGUUCUAUUUGGUCUAAGCCUCGGUCUAGACACAGGGAUGUUUAAAAACAAAUAAAAGAAGAAAUUAGUAUCUGCUUGUAUUUAAUAUGUGGACUGAGGUGAUCAAAUGUCCCAGUAUGCCCCAGAGGAAAGGAGUUCCUGGAACACAGGACUUUCUUUCCCUUUUAAAAAAAACAAAAAUUGUUAAAGUUGAUUUACAAUAUUCUGUUCAUUUCUGCUGUAUAGCAAAGUGACCCAGUCAUAUUGUAUAUAUACAUUAUUUUUCUCAUACUAUCUUUCAUCAUGUUCCAUCCCAAGAGACUGGGUAUAGUUCCCUGUGCUGCACAGUGGGACUCCAUUGCUUAUCCAUUCUAAAUGUAAUAGUUUGCAUCUACCAACCCCCAAAUCCCCGUCCACCCCGCUACCCUCCUCCACCUUGGCAACCACAAGUUUGUUCUCUAUGUCUGUGCAUCUGUUUCUGUGCUGUAGAUAGGUUCAUAUAUGUAAUAUUUUACAUUCCACAUAUAAGUGAUAUCAUAUGGUAUUUGUCUUUCUUUUUCUGACUUACUUCACUUAGUAUGAGAAUCUCUAGUUGCAUCUAUGUUGCUGCAAGUGGCAUUAUUUUGUUCUUUUUUAUGGAUGAGUAGCAUUCCAUUGCAUAUAUGUACCCCAGCUUCUUAAUCCAUUCACCUGUCAAUGGACAUUUAGGUUGUUUCAGAACACAGGACUUUCAAUGCUAAAUCCCGGAAAGUCCCAGGCAAACAGGACAAAUGGGUCACCCAACAAGGAUCAAUGCUAGAGCUGCCUCUUGGUAAUGUGUGAUCCGUGGUUUUGAAGGAGUCCCUGGGGACAAGAGGAAGGAAGUUACACUUGGGAGGAAGGGUGAGGGUGGUGCCCUCACUCAGAUUGUUCAUUUCCACCAUCGUACAGCCACAGUUGAAGUUUACAUGGGGCAUUAUUGGUGUGAUUAAUUUUAACUGUCAAACUUAAAAAUAUAUUAUCUGGAGUUCCUGUCAGGGCUCAGUGAGAACAAAUCUGACUAGCAUCCAUGAGGAUGCAAAUUCCAUCUCUGGCCUUGCUCAGUGGGUUAAGGAUCAGCGUUGCCCUGAGCUGUGGUGUAGGUCACAGACAGGCUCGGAUCUGGCAUUGCUGUGGCUGUGGCAAAGCCAGUGGCUACAGCUCCAAUUCGAUCCCUAGCCUGGAAACCUCCAUGUGCCUUGGGUGUGGCCCCAAAAAGACAAAUAUAUAUACAUAUAUGUAUACAUGUAUGUACAUAUAUUAUAAUUUAUUUUUAAAAAAUGCAAUAAUAUGAAAUUUUCUGAUCUUUUUUGGUUGAAAAGUUGAUGGUCCCAAAUAUGCUACCUGUAGAUGUUUUUAAGUAAUAAACACAAUUUGCAUUUAAUCCAGCCCACCAAGGUAUACAUGACAUUUUAAUGGUACUUUUAGAAACUCAAUGAAUGGGGAAAACAUUUAGAAAGUGGAAAUCCAGUGAUUGUUUAGAAAUGUUUCCACCACUAUGUGAUAUUUUUACUAACAACAAUGUAGGUAUGGGUCACCUAUAAAAACUCCUAUAUACAACCCAUUGUAUAUAAAAAUAGGUAAUCAACACAGACCUACUGUAUAGCACAAGGAACUAUAUCAACAUUUUGUAAUAAUCUAUAAAGGAAAAGAAUCUGAAAAAGAAUGUACAUAAUAUUAAUAUAUAAUAUUCAGUUUAUAUAUAUUAGUGAUAUUAGCUAUAAUAUUAUAUAUAAUAUUCAGAUAUAUGCAUAUUCAUUUAUAUAUGUACAUAUAUAAAAACUGGAUCACGUUGCUGUACACCUGAAACUAACACAUUGUAAAUUAACAAUAUUCAAUAAAAAAUAAAUACAAGUUUAAAAAAAAUUUACCCUUUUUUUGAAAAGUAGAAUUUUUAGUUUGUUUACAAUUUCCAGAGUUCCCAUAGUGGCUCAGCAGAAAAAAAUCUGACUAGCAUCCAUGAGAACGCAGAUUUGAUCCCUGGCCUUGCUCAGUGGGUUUAGGAUCUGGCAUUGCCGUUAGCUGUGGUGUAGGUCACUGACAUGGGUUGGAUCUGGCAUUUCUGUGGCUGACAUGUAGGCCAGCACCUGCAACCUCCAUAUGCCUCAGGUGCAUCCC